AAAAUUAUCAUAUUAGAAAACCCCUUUAAAAACGAUUGUAAAAAAUGCAAACCCUUUUUAAAAUACCUUGUAAAUCAUUAUACGCCACAUACUUAUGCUUUUUAACGAUUGUAAAUCAAGUUAAACACUUUUAAAAGCUUUUAAAAUCCCUUGUAAAUCAUUCUAUGCCACUAAGUUCUGCUUCUAAAACGAUUGUUAAUCAAUUAAACCCUUUUUAAUAGCUUUUAAAAUCCCUUGUAAAUCAAUCCUUACCACUUUCUAAUCCGUUAAAAACGAUUGCAAGUCAUGUAAAUCCUUUUUAAAAUACCUUGUAAAUCAUUUUUACCACUUUCUAAUCUUUUUAAAUUGUUUAUAAACCACGUAACCCUUUUUAAAAUCCCUUUUGUAAAUAACUUAAUGAUGCUUUAAAAACUAUAUGUAAUUCAUGGGUUACCAAUUUUACAAGGAU
This 448-nucleotide small RNA is filed under the name Arabidopsis thaliana (thale cress). RNAcentral describes it as "ATSL025510". Lineage: Eukaryota; Viridiplantae; Streptophyta; Magnoliopsida; Brassicales; Brassicaceae. The record is from RNAcentral.